Long non-coding RNA from Mauremys reevesii (Reeves's turtle), 908 nucleotides. RefSeq lists it as uncharacterized. Lineage: Eukaryota; Metazoa; Chordata; Testudines; Geoemydidae. The transcript is spliced from 3 exons. The record is from RefSeq and is a predicted model, not a curated record.
UGUAUAGCUAUUUCCCCCGUUUGCCUGUGUUAUCUUUUAUAUUUGAAGGACAUUCCCAAAUUGCAUUUGGAGGACACAUUAUUUUAGUCAAAUUAUGUCUAAAAUGUCCCCACGCCUUCAAACUCAGGCAUGUUUCUUCUUUGUGAAAUAUUGUUUUAAGAGAAAAAGACGGGAGUGGGGAGACAGAAAAUGAACAUUUUUGACUGAUAGGAUUCCCGGGUAUAAAUACAUUAGUCAGUUCUGCAGUGACUGGAUGAGUUAUUUUAGACCCACAAGGCAUCUCAUCUGAAAAUCAUCUACACAUUUUUUCCUUUUGUUUUUCCAGUUCUUCCUCUACAAAACAAAACUGUACAAGCAAUUGUAACCCAUGCACUUUAUGCAUCAGCAUUUGACUUUGUUCUUCCAGAGGGAGGGGACAAGAAUCUUCUUAGUUGGAUACUCAAUGUCUGAUGAGAACAGGGUAGGGUGUGGCAGUUACCGGAUGUGCUCUUAAGUUUUCAUUGUGGGCACCCCACCUGGCAGCUCAUCCCCUAGCCAACCUCCGAGAGAAGAGUGCAAUCAGAGGGCAAUCAGAGUGCAAGGGGAGGUAAGGUUAUAAAUACAGGAGUUAAAGACAACCCCGUGGACUCAGUGGCUGAUUGACACAGGACCAAGAAAUGAGUCUGCUGCGGUCCCAAUGCCUGUGGAUAUAGGGACAGGCAUGCUUGAGAACCAGACUGUGACACGGGCACCCACUGGGGUGUCUGAAGAAGUUAGACCUGCUUAGGUUGCCAUCAGAGGAUGGGGAUGGUGAGCCGUAAGCAACUUCAUUCACCCCUGAAGGAACAAACCACCAGGCCAUCCAAGUCAGGGCCUGGAAGGGGAAACUGGGCUGGCCAGCAGGACACCAGAGGAUGCCUGGGCAGGAA